GAUGCCGCAAAGGUCUCUGGGUAUGCAGAGGGAGCCAUAUUUUUCCAAUAUCAGUUACGCGAAAACAGCGCACGUAUAGUAAUCGCAGGAUGGGAUUUUUAUCGGUUCUUGGCAGCGAUAGUCGGUAGAACGCGUGUAACAGCUCGGGCCUUGGUGGCCUUGAUGCUUUUAAAGGUGUUGUGAAUUAAUAAUUGAGAACGUCGUGUGUGUUGUCAGAGGAAUUGGUGUAUCAGACGAUCAAGAAACAAAGUGUGGUUAAUAUUAUAAUAUAAAGGAAAAAAAAAUUGAAGCGCUGUUGGCCCGCGCAGGUGUUCAGAGAGUACGAGAGAGGGUUAGUUAACUUAACCCAAGAUCGGGACUCGUCGACUACAACUAUAGUGGUGGUGUGGUAAGUGGAGAGAUGGUGUUGUAGUGGCAAUGGAGAUGGUAGUGUCGGUGCUGCUGGUGUGACGAUGACACAGACGUCAUAACACGACAUUCGUCCGUUCGUGUUGCGUUUUAACGUUUCAUCUCGCGGACGUGUGUUUCGUCCUUAAUCAAAUUAAAAAUAUUAAUUAUAUCUAUACAUUGUGACCUUCAUAACUUACAAAAUUUACCUCUAUUUAAAUUCAUGUGUACACUACUUGGAUUAUGUGCAAAAAUUUUCAAUUUGAAAUAAAAAAAGAAUUAUUAGUGAUGAGUGUCGUGUAUUUUCAAUUCUUAAAUAACACACCGGUGUUUGUAUUUCUACAGUUGCGUCCUUGAGUGAGCAUCAAAAUCGAUUUUACUCGCGUCGUAGUUGGUUUAUUUACUACGUGUUUCGAAUUAGCUCGAGAAAGUGAUUUUAUUAGAGAUAAGAAAAGAAAAACAGUCGUGUUUUGGUGACAAUCUCAAAAGUGUACUGGUGAACUAAGUGAAGAGAGUGGUGUGAACUGUAAUAAUAAGUGCAAUAUUACAUUUCGGAUUAAACACUCGCGUGUGUAAUGUCAACGGGAUUCGCUCAACACGAUUCAGUUCGUACAUAUGCAUCCAAUGCACGGUACAAGCUGUUACGCCAUAGAGGAUGCCGCAGGGGCUAGUGGAGUAUUGGAGGCGUGCGCUGUAUGUUCCAGUGAUGUCGGUGGCGCGGCACUUUUCACUGCUGGACCUGGACCAUGGCCGGCAAGCCUGAGCAGCCCAUCUCUCACCCUGCUCCCCAAAAUCACGUUCAUCAGCAACAUUAUCAACAGCAUCACUCUUUACAUAUACAAACACAUCAUCAUCACCAUCAUCAUAAUCAAAUUAAUCGUCGAAAUCAUCAACAGGAACAUCAGCAAAUAUCUCAACACGAGCCUCAAAGUAUCCAACACAAUAGCGUGUUGGUCUAUGUUCCUGGCGAGAACUUUGCUUAUACAACAGCCGUAGGGCAUAAUGCUGAAACAUCGACAAGUUAUCAAUCGGGUCAGCAGCAGCAACAAAAUCCUUACCAAGAUGUGCUACCUCAGGUGGCCACACAACCAACAUUUCCAACCAAGAUUAAUUUUAUCAACAACAGUGAAUUAGAUAAUGAAGUUAAUCCUAAUACUGAUUACUGUCUUGGAAAAACUUUAGAGCUGGUCUCUUGCGAUGUUGUUGUUAAUCAACAGCAACAUCAAUCAACAAAAGAGGAGGAAGAAUUUAAUACUAAUUAUCAAAGCUCUUUGGUGAGUUUGACGAAUGGGAGAGUAGUACCCUCUCCCAAUUCCGUGGAAAAAAUAGAUUUAGGCACUUUGGGAAAUAUUUCUAGCGGUCUUGGAGGUUUAAGAAGUCCAACACAUAGUGAUGCUGAUAGUCUUAGUGGCACCAGUGAUUCAGGGGUAGCUACAACAUCAGUAAUAUCAAGACCUGCAUUGUCUAAUAAUGCUGUAAUAGUUGGUGAGCAAGAUCCAAAAACUUUUUCAACUCAUUACGAAGUCACGUGCAAUUCUGGCUAUUCAACUUCUCGCUUAUCAGAAACUUAUCAAAACACUGGAACAGGAGGGGCAGGAAAUGAAACUGAUUGUAUUAAUACCGGUAAUCUUGAUGAAAAUAGAAUCACUUAUGUUAGUCAAAACGUAGGCAGUCAACUGUCUACUAAUGUAUUCCUUGGUGGAACUCAAGAGUUAAUUGAUCCACAAAAGCAAAGAGAUAUUUGUAAGGAAAUUCGGGUGAAUAAUCAAGAUUCAUUGGAUCUAAAUAGUCGAACUGAACAUAGUGUCAUUACUACAGAUCCUGGGUGCGAAUCGGUACGUUCAGAUACUGCGGAAUCUGCUUAUUCUAGCAGCCUUAGUAGCCCUGAGUGUCAAAAUUUACAAUCUAACGAAUCAGUGAACAAUAAUAGUGUCUGUGCGCAGCCGUCUGCGUGCUUGGUGCCUCAAGUUAGCGCGCAACACAGCAACAAUGUUGCGCUGACUAUGAACGGUAGUGUGGUGACGCAGAAUCAACAAAAGCAACAGCAACAGGCGUCCAUUGCUGCACCUCGCGGAUGGAAGAGGAUAUGCACCGACCGGGUCAUCAUAUAUAUCAGUCCAAGCAGCACGGCGCUGAGGUCGCUCGAUCAGCUCAAGGAGUACCUGACAACCGCGGGCACUUGCAAGUGUGGACUAGAGUGCCCGCUUAGGCCUGAACAAGUCUUCAGUUUCGAUCCCAAGGUAGCGACACGACCUUGGAGUCCAGAUCAAGGAAAGACGCGGGAGAUGACCAAGCUUUGCAACCAUAAGAGGAAACUUUUGUUGCCUGUGGCUGCAGCAAGUCCAAUUGCCUCGUGUACACCAGUUGUCUCUUCUUCCACUUUACCUGUACAAGGACCUCCCGGAAUCCUUGCGAGUGCUGAUUCGCCAACUUCAUCUGACAAGUCAAAAAAAGAUGGCCUGAAUAAAAAGAAAAAAAGGAAGCUUGGAAGCGUGGGAAAUCUUUACUCAGGAGUGUCAGUGUCUCAACUUAUUGCGCAAAGAGAACGAGCUAUUGCUGUGGCAGGCGCCACGGGAGUUCAGGCAUUGCCGUCUUCCAACGGCUCUCAGGUUUGGCCAAUGACUGCUCUGCCAAUUCAGCAAAAUAAUCAACAAAUCGGUCAUCAAUUACUCAAUUCCCCUUCACAAAAUCUUGACUCUAACGCUUGUGUCGUGCGAAAUCCACAACAAAGGCUGAAUCCUCACAAUAUGACGAGCAUGUUGAUGGGUAAUCCGUUGAUCAUGAAUCAACAGGGUACAAACUUUAACAAUAUGAGUCAACAACAGCAACAGUUGAUAUUACAACAACAACAACAACAACAGCAGCAGCAGCAGCAGCAGCAACAACAACAACAACAACAACAACAACAACAACAACAACAACAACAGCAGCAGCAACAACAACAACAACAACAACAACAACAACAGCAACAACAACAGCAGCAGCAACAACAACAACAACAACAACAACAAUUAAUGCAGCAACACAUGACUCAACAUCAUCAAAAUGUCAUAACUAAUCAAUUAUCUCAUCAACAAUCACCUCAUUAUAUAAAUCAAAUGAAUGAUCAGUCAGUUCAUGCGAUGCAACAGCAGCAUAUGAAUCAACAACAGAUGCAUAUUCAACAAAUGCAACAAAAGCAUCAACACCAGCAAGAAAAUCAACAAGUUAAUUUUAACCAUCAUGUCAAUGAUAAUUUUCUACAUCAUUUACAGGCUAAUCAGAAUUCUUCACAAAAUCAAAUUCAUGCUCAAAUGCAUCAAAUGCAUCAGCACUCGAUGCAAUAUCAACAACAAUCAAACCAACAUAUGAUGCAAAAUCAAACGCACGAUCAAUUUCAUAUGCUCCAGCAUCAACAGCAACAGCAGAUGUCUCAGGUUUGCCAGCCAAUGCAAUUUAAUCAUCAAACAAUGAGCCACCAUCUAGGUGAUAUAUCUCAACCGACAAAUAAUGGCUCUUUGAUGUCCGGAAUCAAUGCGACUGAUGGUCAAGUGAGACACAAUCGAAUUCCUUCCAUGGAUGAAGACAUGAACGCAAAGCAAAUGUCGCAACAACACCAACAGCAACUAAUGAUGCAUAAUCACAACAUGCAAAGGCAUCAUGUACAGAAUGGAAGUAUGCAGAACCUUAGUCAUGAAAAUAUGCAACGAAUGUAUGUUCAACACCAAGUAUCGCAAUUCCAACAAAGAAGUUGUGACCCUAAGACAUCGAAUAUGGAGUUAAAAUCAGGACAUCAGCAGUACAUGUUGGUUAGUCAAGCAGGAAGGAGUCCAACUAGUGGAAAUACUGUUGAUACUCAAGCCAUCAACGGAAAUGGACAGAAUGGACAGACUAACAAUCAUCAUUUCAACCAAAGGACACAAAUGUGGCAACAAAAUCGAACUAUUACUCCAUCGCAUCAAUCUCCGUCAUCAGUAUCAGUUCAAAAUAUCACAUGUAAUAGCCUAGAUCGUGUUCCACCUCUACAUCAUCAUAUUCCCCCAACUACUCCCUGGACGGAUGAAAUAGCAAGAAAGAAAGCAAAACCGAGUAAAUCUUCAGGCAAGAAACAAAGACAUCAACAUAUGGAGAUGAGAAAUAAUCUUGAACAAUCUAGUCCAAGUCCGGAUGAUGAUUUUAAUGAUAAAUCACAAACUAAUAAUCAAAUUGGCUCUACCGUAAAUAAUUCUCCCAGUUUUCUGGAUGAUCCUAGUGGGUAUUUAGCCCAACAAACGGCUUUAUUAAAUAGUACAAUAUCGAGACAAACAGGUGUCAGUUCGUCGCAAAUGAUGGUAAAUACAUCUAAGAUACAAGGAAAUCAUGGAAAUAAUUAUCUUCCUCAACAAAAGCCUUCCUCAGCAACAAGUCCAUCAAAUUCGAUGUGUAAUUCUGUCAAAAAUCAUGCAACAUCACCAGUAGUUGUGCAUAGCAGUAUGACACCAACGUCUCUAAAUAACAAUACUAAUGAUUCAGAUAAUAGUUCUUGCCAAGGCUGUGUUACGAGUGCUGAUACUCAAUCUUAUAUCACCGAACAAUAUAAACAACAAAUGCAUAGACAAUAUAUCAUGCAUUCUGAUCAAAGAGAUGAUCCAGUUACAUCAUCGACAUUUGGAGAAAGAUUUACGAAUCAACAAAUGGAAUCUUGGCCAAUUCAAGGUGGAACAAUAAGCACAAGUCAUGGAUCUCCAAUUGGUACCAACAGCCCAGCCAAUUCUGACAUUCCACCUUCAUCAAUAUCUCAACCAGCAACUCCACAAAGUCUUAUUUCAUCUCAACCAUCGACGCCGCACAGUUAUUCCCAACCUCCCACGCCUCAUUCUCAUUCCGGGCAAAUUCCACCACCUCCAUUGACUCCAGUUAAUGGCCAGCAACCAUCACAAUCUACUAUUUCUAACAACAUUAUAACUCAGGAUCAAUUAUCAGGUCUCUGUUCUAUUUCAUCAGCAUCGAGUUCUGUAUCUCCAAGCUCUUCUCCAUCACAAAUUGCUAUCUCUUGUAUUUCUGGUCCAACAGAGAAUGCUUCUGUCGUUUUAUCGAAUGGAAAACAAAAACAAUCUACUCUGGAAGGUUAUCAGCCUCAUCCACACACGCUCAAUCCAAUUCAACGAAUUACAAUCAUCCCAUAUUCUGGUAAUGCGGCUGUCAUCACUACGAUGGCAAGUGGACACACAUUUAGUUCCAAUACUAUAACAUCUGUGCUUGCUGGAAAAGCCAAUACUGCUACAGUAUCGAUAAAUACACCGUCAGGAAUUCCUAAUCCAGCUAUUCCAAAUAUUUUAGCCAAUAAAGCACAACAUUCUUUACAGCAAGCAACAGCUUCAACAAAUGUUGUUGUAUCAUCUUCAACAGUACACCAAUCUUCUGUACCUUCAGCUUCUUCAACUCAAUCACAAAGUACAGCAGUAUCAAAAUCUCCACUAGAAAUGGUACAAAGCGUGGUUUCAAGUAUUCAAGUACCUCAAGCAAGUACUGGAUCGACAAUUCAACAGCAGACUCACCAACAGGAUCAACAAUCUAAUGUACACGUUCAAAAUGUUUUGGCAUCUGGAAGUGUAUUGAAGCAGUCAAGUGGUUCUACUCUUCCUCCUGGCCAUAUUCUUGUUUCUAGUGGUGGACAAUUAAUUAUGGCCAGUACAGGAUCAGGAAUAAGUGGCGUUAUGGCUCCACCACCACCUAAAAUUAUUUCAAAUGCCAGUUCCAUGCCACCUUUAUCGGUGUCUCCAAUGGUAACGAGUGUCACUGGUACCGUAAGCCAAGUGAUUCCAGCUGUUGGAGUUGCGCAACAGGUUAUUGGACAACCAACAGUCCUAGUUAAUACUAUUCAAACUCCUGUACUUAUUCAACCUAGUGUUAUGACAAUGGAUGGUAUUGGACAAAACGUUCAAAUACCACAUCUUACUGUUGCUGCUGGAAAUGUUUUACAGAAUGCUCAGUCUAUUAUUGAAGCUAAUCAAGAUGUCACAAGAACUGUUACCACUAAUCAAAGUAUUGUCAACAGACAGCCAACUUUAUUGUCUCCAGAGUCUGCAAUUAGUAAGAAGAAAGUUUACAAAAAACGUAAAAGCAAUUCUCAAACUGUUGCUUCGAUGCUUCACAUUGCUUCCUCACAACAAAAUACUGGUAUGCUGAUGCAGUCACAGUCAAAUUUCGCUCAGCAGAAUUUCCAGGCUCAAAGUAUUGGUGGUCCAAUGCUUCAAGCACUAACAAUUGUACCUGGAAAAGGUGGAGCACCAGCACAAUUAGUAAUGAAUGGCCAAACUGGUGCUACAUCAGCACAAUUUAACACUCAACAAAUUAUUACGAAUCCUCAACCUGCUCAGCAAAUUAAUCUACUACAACCGGUUAAUUUGCUAAAUGGUGCUACAGGAAUGGUACAAAAUUUCCCAACGAUUCAACAGUUUAUCGUUCCAGGACUAGGAAGCAUGGUAAUGUCUGCAGAUGGUACUGCUACAUUGCUUCAAGAUACGGGUAAUCUUGGAAUGCAACUUCAAAUCCAAAAUGUCAAUGGCCAGAAUGUUCUUACACCUAUCCAAAGUCACAGCGGAAUCUUCAGUCCAAGUCAAAGUAUCCUUGCUGCAGGUCCAGCAGGAAUGGUCAUAAGAGCACCACAAGCGGCUGGAGGUAAAAUUAUUCAACAGCAUAGUCCUGGCGCUCAAUUUCUUUCUUCGAAUAGCGGACAGUUUUUAGUAAAUGGUACGACGUCUUUCAGUAAUCAAUUGAGUCCAAUUGUUGCUAAUGUCAGUCCAAAUCAACAAAUGACAUUUAAUACGUCUCAAGUUCGACCCUCUAAUAUUCAAGGGCAGCAAGAGUUUAUUCAGAUGAAUGGGCAAACGUUGAUGGUUCCCUGUGGUACAGCACAAAAUAUUGCCGUAUCUUCGGCUUCAAAUCAACAGAAUACAACAUUUGUACAACAAAAUACUACAAUAGUUCAACAACAAACAACUAUGGUUUCAAACAAUCAAAUUCCUGACUUUCAAUCAGUUACUACAAACAAUGGAAAUAAUGUAGACCAGUCUUUAAACCUUGACCACAAUCAGUCCUACAUUUUAAGUGCUGGAAUGAUUCAGGGAAAGUGUCCAGCUUCGCCAAAGAGUACUAUCAGUUCUCCUUCGUCGGAACAGAGUGUAGAGCAACGACAACCGCAGUUUAAUUUGACAAGCACUAAUGGUAACAAGAAUAGUUCAGGAAUCGAUACCAAUGGACAACAGAACGACCAACAUAGUCCAUCAAUGGUUAGACAUUCUGUCUCUACACAAACAGCUGGUAAUCAAGCAAACAAUACCCAGUCGACUCUCAUGAGACAAGGAUCACCUCCGGAUACCACUACUCAUAGUCCGGGAAAUAGUCAACGAUCCAAUAGUCCUGCUGUUGAUACAACCACUCAUGGAGCUGCUUCACCGGCACCUCCUAUUACUGCGAGACAUCAUUCAUCAUCAACGCCGAUGGUUCACUGUAUAUCGAGUAGCGAACCCGAUUCCGGAGACAUUCAAACUGCGACAGAUGACUGGAGAAUUCAAGGAAUAGCUACGAAGGAAAUGACUCUAAGUCAAGCUGGUCUGCAUGGAAAAACUCUUGUGGAAUCAACAGUGACGACAGGCAUCCAGAUCUUUACGCCAGAGACGUUGAAGCAAACCGAGGGUGUGGUGAGCACAGUGAGGUGCGAAGGCAGAGAGCAUACCCUCGGUCGGGGAAUCAAGCGAAAGCUGGACUCCAUCCACUCUAUGCACUCGACUCUGCAUGAAGACCAGGAUGUUAAUUACAACUGGCAGUAUCAUCAAGAAUAGCACUUAUGAACAUUAAAACAUGAUAAUAACGUUCACAUAUUCACGACCAUACAAAGCAUACAUCAGUGGUUCGUUAAGAAGUGAUUGAUGAAAAUGAAAAGCUCAUUACUCUUACAUUCUUGCUUUGUCUUCUUCCCAACAUUCAAAAUCUCAUUAUUCCAUGAAUAUGAAUAUACUUUAAUAGAAGUCGUAAAUUAAAUAUGCAACUGGAGAAUGCAAUUCAAGAGGCAAUGGCAGAACUGGAUAAAAUGGAGAAUAACAGAGAAUCUCACAAAGAAAUCAGAAAACAAUUUGUACAAAGCACAAGAUCAUCAA
Molecule: unclassified non-coding RNA, 8504 nt
Filed under: Chelonus insularis
Lineage: Eukaryota; Metazoa; Arthropoda; Insecta; Hymenoptera; Braconidae
Description: putative mediator of RNA polymerase II transcription subunit 26, transcript variant X3
Source: RNAcentral